Molecule: transfer-messenger RNA, 366 nt
Filed under: Patescibacteria group
Lineage: Bacteria
Also listed under: 1 other name
Description: GCA-016432425 sp016432425 Standard tmRNA
Rfam family: transfer-messenger RNA
About the family: Bacterial tmRNA, also known as 10Sa RNA or SsrA, is named for its dual tRNA and mRNA-like properties. Its role is to liberate the mRNA from a stalled ribosome. To accomplish this part of the tmRNA is used as a reading frame that ends in a translation stop signal.
Source: RNAcentral
GGGGAUGUUUAGUUUUCGACAGGUUAGCUCUUUAAAAACUGCAAGCCGCUAAAGAAAUCUUAAGCGUAAAAUAUGGUUUCAAAAUUUAAACGGCAAUAAUAAUGUCCGUUAUGCAUACGCCUAAUUUAGGCCGGUAGCAUUAUCUUAAGAUAAUUUCUUCAAAGCGGAUUACUUAAGGUAUAUACAAAGCUUUGAUGCAAUAAUUUUAGUGUUGGUUGAUCUAAAAUUAUUUAAGACAACUCAAUCAAGUUUUAGUUUUCCUGCUAGUUUGGUUACAACUAAGACUUAAAAAUAUGCUAGCUAAGCUUGUAGAAGUUUUUGAGGAAACUUUCCCGGACGAGGGUGCAAUUCCCUCCAUCUCCACCA